UAGGAAUUGGCGGGGGAGCACUACAACGGGUGGAGCCUGCGGUUCAAUUGGAUUCAACGCCGGAAAGCUUACCGGGUCAGACAGCAAUAUGAAGGUCAAGCUAAAGACUUUACCGAAUUCGCUGAGAGGAGGUGCAUGGCCGUCGUCAGUUCGUAUCGUGAGACAUCCUGUUAAGUCAGGCAACGAGCAAGACCCGUGCCCACAGUUGCCAGCAUACCCUCCGGGGUGAUGGGCACACUGUGGGGACCGCCGCUGCUAAAGCGGAGGAAGGUGCGGGCUACGGUAGGUCAGUAUGCCCCGAAUCAUCCGGGCUACACGCGGGCUACAAUGGUUGGGACAAUGGGCACCUACACCGAGAGGUGAUGGUAAUCUCCUAAACCCAGCCUUAGUUCGGAUUGAGGGCUGCAACUCGCCCUCAUGAAGCCGGAAUCCGUAGUAAUCGCGUAUCAAUAUCACGCGGUGAAUACGUCCCUGCUCCUUGCACACACCGCCCGUCAAACCAUGCGAGUGAGGUCUGAAUGAGGGCACGCUUUUUGGCGUGUUCGAAUUUGGGCUUCGCGAGUGGGGUUAAGUCGUAACAAGGUAACCUCAGUCAGUCA
This 599-nucleotide ribosomal RNA is filed under the name uncultured euryarchaeote. RNAcentral describes it as "bacterial SSU rRNA". It matches the Rfam family "Archaeal small subunit ribosomal RNA", at positions 858 to 1478 of the family's 1478-position model. The record is from RNAcentral. Lineage: Archaea; Methanobacteriati; Methanobacteriota.